Ictalurus punctatus (channel catfish) is the source of this 1628-nucleotide long non-coding RNA. The record is from Ensembl. Lineage: Eukaryota; Metazoa; Chordata; Actinopteri; Siluriformes; Ictaluridae.
CUGUACUGAAGAGAGAGAAAAGAAUAUGGAGCGUUCAGAGUUCCUCUGAACUUUGUGCGAUUAAGACGUUGUUGUAGUUGCUCUUAUCAAGAGAAGAACAUGAGUAAGUUUUUGAGUGCGCUUGAUGCUGAUGUAGUGGACCUCCCACAGCGUCCCCUGACGUUCACGGACGGACAAGGCGAUGGAAAGAAAACAACAUCGGACCCCGAGGGUCCCAACUGAAGACCCAGUGUGUGACUGGGCCACGGAACCGGCUCUGCUCCAACCCACAGAGGUUCCUCAGGACCAGGUCACGGACGUUGUGACUCAGGCUGAGGAGAAGAUUCAGAAGCUUGUGGUGUCCAAUACUCGGCUCGAGGACAGAGUUAGGGAGCUGGAGGAACUGCUCUGUGAGGCACGCAGAGAUGACCUGAAAAGCAAGGUCUCCCUGACUAAGGCUGAGGAGUCCAUUGCUCAGUGGAAGGUGGAGAAGGCCAACCUGACCAACCAGGUGAAGACACAGCAAGGAAAAGUGCAGUACAUGGAGAACCUCCUCUGUAAGGCUCACAGGUGGUCUGUUGAUCGAAUCAAUGUCGUUCUGGCUGAAGAUGAGGAGAAACCCAGAAGGCUGUAGAGACCAUCGCUCAGUUUGAGGUGGAGAAGUCUGAGUUUCAGAUGAAGAACGAGGAGAUGAAGAAGUGUCUGAUACAGACAGUGGAGUCACUGAAGGUCUCUCUGGCUGAAACUGAGGAGAAACACCAGAAGGCUAUGGAGACCAUCGCUCAGCUUGAGGUGGAGAAGUCUGACCUGAAAGACCAGGUGGAGACACAGCGAGGAACAGUGCAGGACUGUGAUGAGUGACUCACUGCGAUGAGCUAAGAGACAAACAGGCAUACUCUUGGAUCCCAGGAGACGAGUGCUUGAGGCAGAAGGUAGUUGAACAGAAAUGGAUCCCCAGCAGAAUCAACAUGAUGGGGUAUGAGGGGUGAAAAUAAAGUAACAUAAUUUAAUGUGAAGUAAAAAGUCAAGCUGGUCUUAUAUAGGUGAUAAACACUGCCCCCUGGGUUCCCAGUGCCGGUCUUAUAUAGGUGAUAAACACUGCCCCCUGGGUUCCUACAAAGUGCCGGUCUUAUAUAGGUGAUAAACACUGCCCCCUGGGUUUCCUACCCAGUGCCGGUCUUAUAUAGGUGAUAAACACUGCCCCCUGGGUUCCCAGUGCCGGUCUUAUAUAGGUGAUAAACACUGCCCCCUGGGUUUCCUACCCAGUGCCGGUCUUAUACAGGUGAUAAACACUGCCCCUGGGUUUCCUACCCAGUGCCGGUCUUAUAUAGGUGAUAAACACUGCCCCAUUACUUUUGGCAUGUGUGUUUUGUUAACAAGUCAAUAUUACUGACAAACCAGGAAGCAUGCACUCAGGCUUUGAGCUCGUGCUUCGGGUUACGUCACCACGCCACGCCGUUUUUCUUUCCAGCUUGAUUUUAACUUCACAUCUUUUCACCCUUCAUACCUCAUAAGCUUCAUGGAUAAAUACAAGCAAGAAAUCAAACACAAAGACAGAAAGAACUCUUAAGUGUAUUUACGAAAAAUGAAAUGCAUUUGUCAUAAAGAAAUACUAAAUAACUAAAUAAAUGUGUGUCUAUGGAACAGUU